RNAcentral lists this ribosomal RNA (771 nucleotides) under uncultured bacterium. RNAcentral describes it as "bacterial SSU rRNA". It matches the Rfam family "Bacterial small subunit ribosomal RNA", at positions 1 to 765 of the family's 1533-position model. The record is from RNAcentral.
CCCUUAGAGUUUGAUCAUGGCUCAGGAUGAACGCUAGCGGCAGGCCUAACACAUGCAAGUCGAACGGUAACAGGGAAGAGCUUGCUCUUUCGCUGACGAGUGGCGCACGGGUGCGUAACGCGUAUACAAUCUACCUUGUACAGGGGUAUAGCCCAGGGAAACUUGGAUUAACACCCCAUAGUAACAUAUUUUGGCAUCAUUAUAUGUUUAAAACUACGGUGGUACAAGAUGAGUAUGCGUCCCAUUAGCUAGUUGGUGUGGUAACGGCACACCAAGGCAACGAUGGGUAGGGGCCCUGAGAGGGGGAUCCCCCACACUGGUACUGAGACACGGACCAGACUCCUACGGGAGGCAGCAGUGAGGAAUAUUGGACAAUGGGCGAGAGCCUGAUCCAGCCAUGCCGCCUGCAGGAAGACUGCCCUAUGGGUUGUAAACUGCUUUUAUACGGGAAGAAACCCACCUACGUGUAGGUGGCUGACGGUACCGUAAGAAUAAGGACCGGCUAACUCCGUGCCAGCAGCCGCGGUAAUACGGAGGGUCCGAGCGUUAUCCGGAAUCAUUGGGUUUAAAGGGUCCGCAGGCGGCCAGAUAAGUCAGUGGUGAAAUUCCGUGGCUCAACCACGGAACUGCCAUUGAUACUGUUUGGCUUGAAUCAGUUCGAGGAUGCUGGAAUGUGUGGUGUAGCGGUGAAAUGCAUAGAUAUCACACAGAACACCAAUUGCGAAGGCAGGUGUCCAGGACUGUAUUGACGCUGAUGGACGAAAGCGUGGG